Long non-coding RNA from Coregonus clupeaformis (lake whitefish), 1797 nucleotides. RefSeq lists it as uncharacterized. Lineage: Eukaryota; Metazoa; Chordata; Actinopteri; Salmoniformes; Salmonidae. The transcript has 3 exons. The record is from RefSeq and is a predicted model, not a curated record.
UUUUGCAAAGUCGAACCCGAAGUGCAUAGCCUUAUGUGAAGUAAUCACAUCCCCUGAUCUGCACAAACAUGGAGACAUCUGGGUCGUUCCCAAUACCGACCACGUCUGUACACGCUUCUUCUUUGUUUAUGAAGAUGGCCAGGUGGGAGAUACGAGCAUCAACACACAAGACGCUGGCAUCCAUCGAGAGAUCCUACGAGUCAUCGGCAACCAGACCGCCACGGGAUGAACAACCGCUGCAAUACUGCUGCCUCUCCUCCAGCCUCCCAGGUCAAAGCUGGAUUUUUGAGCUGCGGAGGCGUUUCCUUCCGACCAAACGCGGAGAACACAAAAAACUACUUAGCAAAAGUUUGAAAUCCUCAAAAGAAAUAGCUACAGUGAAACCCACCACACAUAUUUACAACUGAAACACAACAAAACUCUUUAGGGAAGAACACAUUUUGCUAAGUUUCUAAAUACUAUGAAGAAUCGUGUUUUUCUGAAGACCGUACGUCUCUCAGUUUGACUGAUUUGGGACGAUUUCAUUUUUUUUGUAGAGAACAUUUAACAUUUUUUGGGGGGAAAAUAAUGAGGAAAAAGUUCCUUCCUGUCUAGGAAAAAGGUCCUUCCUGUCUAGGAAAAAGGUCCCAUCUAUCUGACCUUGUUUACUAUAGAGUUGUACCUUUUUUAAAAGUACAAUGUGUACUGAAGGUGUUAAUAUGCACUGUUUCUUAAUGUCAUAUAUUUGUUCCAACAACUGGUGUCGUAACCUGAAAAACUACAACUGAUUUUCCACUUGAUUAUUUUGGGCGGUGGUAUAUGGUGUAUAUGGUGUGUGUGUGUGGAUAUAUAUAUAUAUAUAUCAUAUAUUGGUAACCAUUCCAUGUAGACUGAGGCACACAGCAAUACAUUGAGUAGAAUAGACACAAAAUACCAGGAUUCAAGUCGGGACUGGGGAUGAUCUGCAUUUUAGAGCGGUUGACAUUUUUUUAAAGGUAAUUUCCCAUUUGAGCCGACAUCGGCAGUGUUUACUUAGAAGGCCAUCUCCUCGACCGUGGUAACAUUACCUUUAAAAUGGUGCGUAGCCCAAAAGGGGUGAGAGCUCUGACUGAGAUGUCGUCGCGAAAUGAGCAGAAAUGUAUGCCGUGUUAAUUUAGGAAGUAGAUCAGUUUUCCUUCACAUAUCAUACCAAGAAAUGUAUAUAUUGGUUGCUUCUCCUUUUAUAGGGGGGGUCUACUGGUUCACCAAUGGCAAAGACUUUGAUUGCAGUCAAGAAUUUAUACACAUUAAAGUAUGGAUGUGAUCCAUCUGCCAAUUCAGAAGUUCCACGCACUUAGCACUCACAACCAGUUUAAUACUUAUAAAAAUAAACAGUAAAACAUUUCAGAUUGAUAUUUGUACUUUGAUUUAAAAAUAUGGGUGGAUGUAUAAUCGAUGCCCCAAUUUAAAGAACAUUUUAAAGUGGUUACUUUCGUUAGGGGGUAUGGGGGUUUCUAUACGUACUAAGCCUGGGUGUUUGCUGCUUGUUGUUUUAUAUAUUGCUGUGAUUUUAAAGACCAAUCAGAGCUCAGUUGUGCUUUUAAAAAGACAAAAGACCAAUCAGAGCUCAGAUGUGCUUUUAAAAAGACCAAUCAGAGCUCAGAUGAAUGUAUACUACCCCUUGUGUUCAGUGUAAAUGAUAUAUCUCUAAGGAUGAUGCUGGUGUAAAGUAGACGUUGACAUUGGGCCAUAGAGGACACCAACCCUCCCGAGUGGCGCAGCGGUCCGGUCCUGGGCUCCCGAGUGGCGCAGCGGUCUAAGGCACUGCAUCUCAGUGCU